GACGAACGCUGGCGGCGUGCCUAAUACAUGCAAGUCGAGCGAAGCUUUUCUGUUGCUUGCACUAGAAAAACUUAGCGGCGAACGGCUGAGUAACACGUUAAGAACCUCCCUCAUAGACUGGUACUACUAUCUGAAACUAUAGCUAUUACCCGAUAACAAUAUUUCUAGCAUGUGAGCUAUUUAAAAGUUGUUUAUGCUCACACUAUUAGAUGGCUUUGUAGUGCAUUAGCUAGUUGGUGGGGUAAAGGCCCACCAAGGAGACGAUGCAUAGCCGACCUGAGAGGAUGAUCAGCCACACUGGGACUGAGACACGGCCCAGACUCCUACGGGAGGCAGCAGUAGGGAAUCUUCCGCCAUGGGCGAAAGCCUGACGGAGCAACGCCGCGUGAGUGAAGAAGGAUUUCGGUUCGUAAAGCUCUGUUGUUAGGGAAGAAUGGAUAUGUAGUAACUAUAGAUGUAAGUGACGGUACCAACAGAAAAAGCCACGGCUAACUACGUG
RNAcentral lists this ribosomal RNA (499 nucleotides) under uncultured bacterium. Its description in RNAcentral is "partial 16S ribosomal RNA". It matches the Rfam family "Bacterial small subunit ribosomal RNA", at positions 28 to 507 of the family's 1533-position model. The record is from RNAcentral.